GAAUCAGAUGACAGUGAAUUUGAUCUUGAUGAUGAGUUUCCACCUUCCACUGAUGGAGAUGAGUUGUCAAAAACUGAAAAGACAAAGAGAGGAGGAAAGAGGUCAAGAGCUGGUAUUCAGUUGUCCCCCUCCAAGUGCAAGGCGAAUAGAGUAAAGAGGGCUGGUUGCUGGAAGUAUUUUAAGGUGGUCACUGUUGCUUCUAGAAAGGAACUUUGGGUUAUGGAGACAAAAGCCAAGUGCAAGUUCUGUCAUAGAUCUUAUUUGUACCAUCAAGGGGGAAGCACUACAACACUAAACCGACACCUAGACAAGUGCACACAGUAUUUGAACAAGCUGGCACAAGCUAAGAAAAAUCUUGCUCAAGGGAGAAGGUGAUGAUGGUGGCAUCGAGUCCGUGGAAUUUCCAAAGUGUGUGGUGGCAAGUAAUUAGGCACAUGGUCACAUACUCACAUGGAGGAGAUGGAGGAGAGGGAGAGAUAGGACCCGGGAGAGGAGACAUGAGAGGCACAUGGUCAUUAUAUUUUGUUGGUUGUAACUAUAAGCAUGUAAUUGUUGGUUGCAACUGUUGCUAACCUGGCAUAUUUUGUUGGCUCCCUACAACUUUGUCCUGAACUCCUGAACCUGAAGUCCUGAUCUAUAAUUGUUGGCUGCAUCA
Long non-coding RNA from Zea mays, 655 nucleotides. RefSeq lists it as uncharacterized. The record is from RefSeq and is a predicted model, not a curated record. NCBI's taxonomy places the organism in Eukaryota, Viridiplantae, Streptophyta, Magnoliopsida, Poales, Poaceae. The transcript is spliced from 3 exons.